GAUCGCGGCGAUGAGGGCGGUCCGCCGCCCGCGACGUCGCGAGAAGUCCACUGAACCUUAUCAUUUAGAGGAAGGAGAAGUCGUAACAAGAUUUCCGUAGGUGAACCUGUGGAAGGAUCAUUG
This 123-nucleotide ribosomal RNA is filed under the name Oncocalamus mannii. RNAcentral's name for it is "partial 18S ribosomal RNA". It matches the Rfam family "Eukaryotic small subunit ribosomal RNA", at positions 1713 to 1831 of the family's 1831-position model. Lineage: Eukaryota; Viridiplantae; Streptophyta; Magnoliopsida; Arecales; Arecaceae. The record is from RNAcentral.